RNAcentral lists this ribosomal RNA (929 nucleotides) under Trichodina jialingensis. RNAcentral describes it as "eukaryotic LSU rRNA". The stretch from base 314 to 929 matches the Rfam family "Eukaryotic large subunit ribosomal RNA", at positions 1 to 667 of the family's 3401-position model. Lineage: Eukaryota; Ciliophora; Oligohymenophorea; Mobilida; Trichodinidae. The record is from RNAcentral.
CCUCCGUAGGGUGGGACUGCGGAAGGAUCAUAACGAACCAUUCUUCUCUGUUCUACGUUCCGAGGCCCUGAGCACUCCUUCUUACGCCCUUUGAUCAAUCUUCAGCGAUGGAUCUCUGGGCUCCCACCUCGAUGAAGAACGCAGCGAAAUGCGAUACGCAGUGCGAAUUGCAGAACCGCGAGUCAUCUGAUUUUCGAACGCAAUGCGCCAGCAAUGGCAUGUUCCGCUCAGCGUGCGCGAUAUCGCACGGAUGUGACUGAGCCUCUUUCACGGAGUCCGGAGGGAUGAGCCCCGAGCGGUGAGUCCUUGGGCGGGCACCUGAGCGGAGCAAGAUUACCCGCUGAACUUAAGCAUAUCAGUAAGCGGAGGAAAAGAAACUAACUAGGAUUGUCUCAGUAGCGGCGAGUGAAGAGACAAGAGCCCAGGAUGCGAAUCUGCGGAAUUGUAAUCUCGGAAGCACUUCGGCAGUCGGACAGUCUUCCAACUACUCUGGAAAGGUAGGCCUCAGAAGGUGACAGCCCUGUAGGAACGACUGACUGACGACGAAGGCGUGGAGAGUCGGGUUGUUUGGGAAUGCAGCCCUAAGUGGGAGAUAGACAUCUUCUAAGGCUAAAUACCGGUGGGAGACCGAUAGCGCACAAGUACUGCGAAGGAAAGAUGAAAAGAACUUUGGAAAGAGAGUUAAAAGACGUGAAAUCGCUGAAGCGGAACUGAUCGCAGCCCGUACAAGGCCUUGUUUUCGUCCUGCCCAGAAAGCCCACGGAACUCAAAUUCCCAGGCCCAAUGGGCGGAGGCAAGCAAGGUUGGCCCCGGCAUCAGUUCCUGCUCCGGUAGUCAAGCUUGGUAAGUUAGGCCGGGCCGGGACCGGGGUGGGGACUGAGGAAGAUGCGGGGGAAGCGACUGUGAUCGACCCGUCUUUGAAACACACU